AGACUCCGUCUAAAAAAAAAAAGUGGCAUCUGACACACAGAAUAUUAGCAUGGCCCCUGCUCAAGGAUGACACACACAUUUGUGAAGGGUUCCAUUUAAAA
RNAcentral lists this small nuclear RNA (101 nucleotides) under Macaca nemestrina (pig-tailed macaque). Lineage: Eukaryota; Metazoa; Chordata; Mammalia; Primates; Cercopithecidae. The record is from RNAcentral.